This 253-nucleotide ribosomal RNA is filed under the name uncultured bacterium. RNAcentral's name for it is "partial 16S ribosomal RNA". It matches the Rfam family "Bacterial small subunit ribosomal RNA", at positions 524 to 776 of the family's 1533-position model. The record is from RNAcentral.
UACGAAGGGUGCAAGCGUUAAUCGGAAUUACUGGGCGUAAAGAGCACGUAGGCGGAUAAGAAAGUUGAGUGUGAAAUCCCUGGGCUUAACCUGGGAACUGCAUUCAAGACUCCUUGUCUAGAGUAUGGUAGAGGAGAGUGGAAUUUCCGGUGUAGCGGUGAAAUGCGUAGAUAUCGGAAGGAACAUCAGUGGCGAAGGCGACUCUCUGGACCAAUACUGACGCUGAGGUGCGAAAGCGUGGGGAGCAAACAGG